Molecule: long non-coding RNA, 1833 nt
Filed under: Homo sapiens (human)
Lineage: Eukaryota; Metazoa; Chordata; Mammalia; Primates; Hominidae
Description: non-protein coding lnc-SNAPC3-1:8
Source: RNAcentral
GGAGACUGUGCAGCGUGACUGGCCGCUUGUUUUAUCCCAGACUCUUUUCCAGGGUCUUACUUCUGUCAUCCAGACUGGAGUGCAGCAGUGCGAUCUCAGCUCACUGCAACCUCCACCUCCCAGGUUUAAGCGACUCUCCUGCCUCAGCCUCCACAAUAACUGGGACCACAGGUGUGUGCCACCACACCUGGCUAAUUUUUGUAUUUUUUUUAUGGAGACAGAGUUUUACUGUGUUGGCCAGGGUGGUCUCGAACUUCUAACGUCAAAUGAUCCACCUGCCUCGGCCUCCCAAAGUACUGGGAUUACAGCCCACAUUUCUAAAAUAGGAAAAAUCCUGAACUGAGAAACACAUUGGUUCCAAGGGUUUCAGAUAAAGGAAUGUGAGAAUUGUACUAGCAUUAUAAAACAGGUUCUAUGCAAAGGACAUAUACUGUUGUUUCCAUGCAUUGUGUCAAUGCAAUCAAACAAAGGUUUUUUGCUUAUAGAGAAGCACAUUCAGUCUGUGGGAUGGUAUAUUUGAGUGAAUUUUUGCUAUCUACUCUCUCUUGCAUCUUGUUUUGAGUCAUAAAGGAAUUGUGUAGUAUUUUAUGCCACUUGAAAACUCGAAAGACUUCAACAGUUGUGUUAUGUGCAAAUCAGAUAAGGCUCUAAUAGGCUUUAUCUUGCUUGUGUAUAGUACCUGUUUGCAAACUAAAGGCACAUUUUCACUCCAUGCCAGUAGGAAUCCUCUGAGGCAUUAUUUUUUGGGCCCCUCCCACUUUAUGUACUGAAAGCAGAAUGGAUGAAAUGCCUUGACACAUAACUUACUUAUCUUUUCUUACUCAACAUUCUAAUGUGUUCUCACUGGUAAAGGAAUGCAGAUUUUUUGAAGGAUCUGGAGAAGCCAGACUCUGCUGGUAUUCAGACAAUUACUCUAGAUAGAGAGAGGAAGUCCUCUUGUUGUGAGUCCAGUGGCUUGGUGGUUCGUAUCCUGGAUUCCUGGUAGUCCAUAGGAGCAACAGGGACUAGAAAUGGCUUUGUUUCAAAGUUCUCUGCUUAUUCUAGAGAGGAAAUAAAAAUAUCACUUAAUAGUAUUUAGAGACCAGUGUGAACUAAGAUACUGGCUUUAAACCAAAAUGGCCAGCUCUGUUGAUCAUAUAGAUUUGAAUGUGGCUAACAUCAUUCAGUGACGUACUGAGCACCUACCAAAUGUAGGGCAUUGCGCUGUACUCUGGGACACAAAGGUAACUCAAACUUUUUUUUUUUUGAGGGGAAAGAGAGAAUGUGAAAUUUAAUAUGAAAGUUGAGACUGAUAUGAAAUGAAAGACAUGGUUGCCAUAGGAGAGGCAUAGAUAAAAGUACCAUUGCUUGCCCUUUAGAGAUGAAUGAAAUUUGUUCUUGCUGGGUGAUUAGGAGAGGCUUCAUAGAGGAGGUAGCAUUUGAGUGGACCUUGAAGUUUAUGUGGCUACAAAUUCCUUUUCCUAUAAAAUGCUAUUGUCAGGAAAUACAAAUAGGAAAUAUCUGGAGUUUGAGUCUCAUCCACUAGGUAGCUCUGCAGCAGUGAAGUCUAUAGGAUGACUUUUAAUCUGCAAAAUGGGGAUUGACCUGGAGGAUUGGUAAGGUUUUUUUUUUUUGCAGCUACUGAAACUCUGUGAUACUGCAAAUAAACUAUGGUCUUAGGAGAAUUUCAUGGCACUCUUAUUAUUUAUUCCUUCACAAUGUACAAAAUAAAUUCAUUGCUUUAGUUGAAAAUCAGAAGGCACCUGGGAAUCAAUUUGUCCUUAAAACAAAAUGGCUAUUUAUUAAAUAUGUGCAAUUCUUUGUUUAUUAAUUAUACCUCAAUAAACCUGUUUU